Molecule: ribosomal RNA, 450 nt
Filed under: uncultured Alphaproteobacteria bacterium
Lineage: Bacteria; Pseudomonadati; Pseudomonadota; Alphaproteobacteria
Description: bacterial SSU rRNA
Rfam family: Bacterial small subunit ribosomal RNA
Source: RNAcentral
GGCCUAACACAUGCAAGUCGAGCGGGCGUAGCAAUACGUCAGCGGCAGACGGGUGAGUAACACGUGGGAACGUACCUUUUGGUUCGGAACAACACAGGGAAACUUGUGCUAAUACCGGAUAAGCCCUUACGGGGAAAGAUUUAUCGCCGAAAGAUCGGCCCGCGUCUGAUUAGCUUGUUGGUGAGGUAACGGCUCACCAAGGCGACGAUCAGUAGCUGGUCUGAGAGGAUGAUCAGCCACACUGGGACUGAGACACGGCCCAGACUCCUACGGGAGGCAGCAGUGGGGAAUAUUGGACAAUGGGCGCAAGCCUGAUCCAGCCAUGCCGCGUGAGUGAUGAAGGCCCUAGGGUUGUAAAGCUCUUUUGUGCGGGAAGAUAAUGACGGUACCGCAAGAAUAAGCCCCGGCUAACUUCGUGCCAGCAGCCGCGGUAAUACGAAGGGGGCUAGC